CUUCAUGGCAGCCCCUAUGAGUCAUCCAUUGAUACCUUUGUGGUAUAACUGAAUGUGUUUGCUCUCAUUCAGUGUCAUGGCGCCGGUAUUUAUAAUGACGGAGCGAUUGUGAGCAUGUUGCAAAAUGUGGCCGUUGGAGCGCUGCAGGAGCAGGAGGGAGAGCCGAGGGAUCCUAACACUGGAGCUCAAGGAUAAACCAUGGACUCUGCAUACAUCCUACCACACCUGGAAGUGAAACAGCCCAGGGUGGGGCAACAAGUGUUUAAUGAAUAGCCAGCAACAAUCCCACGCUUGGAGAUGGCUAAUUUUCCCAGGCCUG
Molecule: long non-coding RNA, 319 nt
Filed under: Gouania willdenowi (blunt-snouted clingfish)
Lineage: Eukaryota; Metazoa; Chordata; Actinopteri; Blenniiformes; Gobiesocidae
Description: lncRNA (ENSGWIG00000013998.1)
Source: RNAcentral